UAAAAUGUUAUUGGCUGAUCUAGCGGCUAACAUAUUGGUCGCUAGUAACUAACUAUUCAUCAGAGUAAGGAGGAUGAUAGGAGCACUUGAACGAUCAGCAAAUUUAAGUGCCUACACUAACACAAAAAACCUUGUCACUAGGAAUGAAUGUCUUUUGGAGUAAAGGAUAAAUCCAACCUAUUUGGUUUUGAUUUGAGACAAACCUUCGUAGCUAGUUCAGGUCCAGUCUCUACAAGAAGUGGACUAGCAGCGGUCGUUGAGAAAAAAGAGUUGUAACAACAGAGAUUCUUCCGAGGCUCCAAACCUACAUGCAGCGUCACAUUAUGCAGUUGUUAGCAUAUAAGCUAUGGCUGCGGAUCAAGAUAAUUGCGAACAUGAGACUCCAUUUCGUUGUUUGUUGAUGCUGCUAACUGCAGAAGUUCACCAAAAAAUACUAGUGUAAAAAAAAUGGAGAAUUUUUUGAGUUUUGAAAAUACUGACCGCUAGCCUCUCGGCCCGACGAUGUACGCCGGCGCCCGGCGGCGAGGUUCUAAACUCGUGAAUUUUUGCGCAUGUAGACUCGCAAAAACACUCUAGAACACGGAUUAAUCUUUUUGGUGCUGCGCGCUCAACUGCAGCGUUUUCUUCUCUCUACUAUUCUGAAGAACGAGAACACGAAAAACAAUUACAGGUACUGCUCGCUCGACGUGUGUGUGUUCAUGACGCAUCCAUCCCCACGUCCACGCGAAACGGCUGGCUAAAUGUGCGAGCUAAUCACGCACCCACUACUCCUAGAUGGAGACUGCAUUCUGCAUAUGCAUUUCUCGAGAUAAGAAGUGAUAGGAGAGUAAAAUAUUUUGUUUUUCAUAAUCUGUUCAGGUAGAGUUUUCUGAAAAUCACAUUUGUUAUUUUUCCAUUAUAUCCCUUACUGAUCUAGCAAAUUGCCGUGUAAUAUAAGAGUAAAGUGCCCCCCCCCCCCCCCCCCAAAAAAAAUAUUUUUGAUAUUUGCACCCCCGUCCCCCAACCCAAACUGAAGUUUUGGCUUUCAGCUUCAAAACGAGUAAUGUGAGCAAGGAUGAACAAUGUUGAGUCAAUGAGUCACAUACUUAUCAUCAGUUGUUUUCAACUCAGUCCACGCUACAAAAAUUCAAAGUAAGAAAAGAACACAAGGUUACCAGAAAAAUGGUCCUGCCUUAGCAUUGUGGCGCAGUUUUCUGAGCGUUCACCUAGCGCAAGAAACAUAACUUCAUAUGGGAACAGUGAGCUCUACCAAUAACAGGAAUUCGAUACAAACUUUUACUCCCCACAUUCUAAAUUAUAAGUCAUUGCAGCUUUCUAAGAGAGUCAAAACAUCUUAAGUUUGGACAAAACUAUAGAGAGAAUUUCAAUACCCUAUAACAUCAAAAUAGACAUAUUAUAAACGAUAAUUAACGAAGAAUCUAAUGCUACUUAUUUGGUAUCUUAGAUAUCAUUAUUCAAUUAUAUAAUUUUGUUAAAUUUGAUUUGCUUUGACUCACAUUGUUUUUAUUAUAUAAAUCUGGUACCGUAAUUCAUGAAAGCAAUCUGUCGAACACGCUGUGGGCGGCACGUCGCACUCCUCUGGCCACCACACGAGCAGGGGUUGCUCAGGACGCGCGCCCUCGUGGCCGACGUCGCUGCGUCUCAAUCUCAUCCGUCGAUGUCGUCCCCUCGGUCGCACCCAGUCCAUCCACGUCGGCCUCCGCGGCGUGCCCGGCCAUGGCCAACUCCGGUCACUCACGUCACGCGGGGCGAGCGGCGGGCGCGGGCAGCCAGGCCGGCACAGGGGCGCGCCAGCACGUGAAAAUCCAGGACCGCCGGCUUGCGGUGGGUUGUGU
This 1835-nucleotide long non-coding RNA is filed under the name Zea mays. RNAcentral describes it as "long non-coding RNA (ZMAY_LNC001747)". Lineage: Eukaryota; Viridiplantae; Streptophyta; Magnoliopsida; Poales; Poaceae. The record is from RNAcentral.